RNAcentral lists this ribosomal RNA (390 nucleotides) under Escherichia coli. RNAcentral's name for it is "partial 23S ribosomal RNA". It matches the Rfam family "Bacterial large subunit ribosomal RNA", at positions 1 to 431 of the family's 2925-position model. The record is from RNAcentral. Lineage: Bacteria; Pseudomonadati; Pseudomonadota; Gammaproteobacteria; Enterobacterales; Enterobacteriaceae.
GUUAAGCGACUAAGCGUACACGGUGGAUGCCCUGGCAGUCAGAGGCGAUGAAGGACGUGCUAAUCUGCGAUAAGCGUCGGUAAGGUGAUAUGAACCGUUAUAACCGGCGAUUUCCGAAUGGGGAAACCCAGUGUGUUUCGACACACUAUCAUUAACUGAAUCCAUAGGUUAAUGAGGCGAACCGGGGGAACUGAAACAUCUAAGUACCCCGAGGAAAAGAAAUCAACCGAGAUUCCCCCAGUAGCGGCGAGCGAACGGGGAGCAGCCCAGAGCCUGAAUCAGUGUGUGUGUUAGUGGAAGCGUCUGGAAAGGCGCGCGAUACAGGGUGACAGCCCCGUACACAAAAAUGCACAUGCUGUGAGCUCGAUGAGUAGGGCGGGACACGUGGUA